This 497-nucleotide ribosomal RNA is filed under the name uncultured bacterium. RNAcentral describes it as "partial 16S ribosomal RNA". It matches the Rfam family "Bacterial small subunit ribosomal RNA", at positions 28 to 507 of the family's 1533-position model. The record is from RNAcentral.
GAUGAACGCUGGCGGCGUGCCUAAUACAUGCCAGUCGAGCGAACAGAUGAGGAGCUUGCUCCUCUGACGUUAGCGGCGGACGGGUGAGUAACACGUGGAUAACCUACCUAUAAGACUGGGAUAACUUCGGGAAACCGGAGCUAAUACCGGAUAAUAUAUUGAACCGCAUGGUUCAAUAGUGAAAGGCGGUUUUGCUGUCACUUAUAGAUGGAUCCGCGCCGCAUUAGCUAGUUGGUAAGGUAACGGCUUACCAAGGCAACGAUGCGUAGCCGACCUGAGAGGGUGAUCGGCCACACUGGAACUGAGACACGGUCCAGACUCCUACGGGAGGCAGCAGUAGGGAAUCUUCCGCAAUGGGCGAAAGCCUGACGGAGCAACGCCGCGUGAGUGAUGAAGGUCUUCGGAUCGUAAAACUCUGCUAUUAGGGAAGAACAAAUGUGUAAGUAACUAUGCACGUCUUGACGGUACCUAAUCAGAAAGCCACGGCUAACUACGUG